AACCUGUAGAGAAAAGGACGGUGGUCACAGUGGUGUAAAAAUUACAUCGAACGGGAACUGGAAAGGGCCUCAUCAGAGGCAAAAACUGAAGAAAUCUACGACGGCAUCGCUGGACUUCGGCAGUGUUUUUCGACCAAUUGGCCUGUGGUUUGGCUCCGAUUUGGAAUUAGGGAGGUUCAACAUCGAAAAAUGAGCCAAGGAGAGAAAUUUUACCUCGUUUGGC
This 223-nucleotide long non-coding RNA is filed under the name Carica papaya (papaya). Its description in RNAcentral is "long non-coding RNA (CPAP_LNC012459)". The record is from RNAcentral. Lineage: Eukaryota; Viridiplantae; Streptophyta; Magnoliopsida; Brassicales; Caricaceae.